This 240-nucleotide long non-coding RNA is filed under the name Hordeum vulgare. RNAcentral describes it as "long non-coding RNA (HVUL_LNC001236)". The record is from RNAcentral. Lineage: Eukaryota; Viridiplantae; Streptophyta; Magnoliopsida; Poales; Poaceae.
UUCUUUUUUCUUUAGUCCACGGGAGAAAUCAUGUUGCAAGUAGUCAUGUGAUGUUGAUAUUCGUUCGAUAUUUUGAUGAUAUGAAUGUUGUGAUUCCCUUAGUGGUGUUAUCUGAACGUCGACUACAUAACACUUCACCAUCUUUGGGCCUAAGGGAAUGCAUUGUGAAGUAGUAAUUAGAGGGUGGGUUGCGAGAUUGACACAAACUUAAACCCGAGUCUAUGCACUACUCCGUAAGGG